RNAcentral lists this ribosomal RNA (301 nucleotides) under uncultured bacterium. RNAcentral's name for it is "partial 16S ribosomal RNA". It matches the Rfam family "Bacterial small subunit ribosomal RNA", at positions 509 to 808 of the family's 1533-position model. The record is from RNAcentral.
CAGCCGCCGCGGUAAUACGUAGGUGGCAAGCGUUGUCCGGAAUUAUUGGGCGUAAAGGGAGCGCAGGCGGUCAGGAAAGUCUGGAGUAAAAGGCUAUGGCUCAACCAUAGUGUGCUCUGGAAACUGUCUGACUUGAGUGCAGAAGGGGAGAGUGGAAUUCCAUGUGUAGCGGUGAAAUGCGUAGAUAUAUGGAGGAACACCAGUGGCGAAAGCGGCUCUCUGGUCUGUCACUGACGCUGAGGCUCGAAAGCGUGGGUAGCGAACAGGAUUAGAUACCCCUGUAGUCCCUGUCUCUUAUACC